UACAGAGGUCUCAAGCGUUGUUCGGAUUUAUUGGGCGUAAAGAGCUCGUAGGCGGUUCGACAAGUCGGAUGUGAAAUCUCCACGCUCAACGUGGAGGGGCCAUUCGAAACUGUCGUGACUUGAGUCCGGUAGGGGAGUGUGGAAUUCCCGGUGUAGCGGUGAAAUGCGCAGAGAUCGGGAGGAACACCCGUAGCGAAGGCGGCACUCUGGGCCGUGACUGACGCUGAGGAGCGAAAGCGUGGGGAGCAAACAGG
This 254-nucleotide ribosomal RNA is filed under the name uncultured bacterium. RNAcentral's name for it is "partial 16S ribosomal RNA". It matches the Rfam family "Bacterial small subunit ribosomal RNA", at positions 524 to 776 of the family's 1533-position model. The record is from RNAcentral.